CCUACGGGAGGCAGCAGUGAGGAAUAUUGGUCAAUGGCCGUAAGGCUGAACCAGCCAAGUCGCGUGAAGGAAGAAGGAUCUAUGGUUUGUAAACUUCUUUUAUAGGGGAAUAAAGGUAUCCACGUGUGGAUAUUUGCAUGUACCCUAUGAAUAAGCAUCGGCUAACUCCGUGCCAGCAGCCGCGGUAAUACGGAGGAUGCGAGCGUUAUCCGGAUUUAUUGGGUUUAAAGGGUGCGUAGGUUGUUUUUUAAGUCAGCUGUGAAAGUUUGUGGCUCAACCAUAAAAUUGCCGUUGAAACUGGCAGACUUGAGUGUGUUUGAGGUAGGCGGAAUGCGUGGUGUAGCGGUGAAAUGCAUAGAUAUCACGCAGAACUCCGAUUGCGAAGGCAGCUUACUAAGCCAUAACUGACACUGAAGCACGAAAGCGUGGGGAUCAAACAGGAUUAGAUACCCUUGUAGUC
RNAcentral lists this ribosomal RNA (460 nucleotides) under uncultured bacterium. Its description in RNAcentral is "partial 16S ribosomal RNA". It matches the Rfam family "Bacterial small subunit ribosomal RNA", at positions 338 to 795 of the family's 1533-position model. The record is from RNAcentral.